UGGUGUACCUAGCUAAAUGAGUGUUAGUAUCAUUCUGUAUUCAGUAAGAAGAAACCAGGAUAAAUUCAGUCGUCUCAUAAUGAAGUGGUUGGCUUGCGGCUUUCUGCUGUUGGCUAUUUUGGACGGAUAUCAAAGUUUACCAUUCUUCAGAUACCGGAGACCACGGCCCGUAAUAAUACCUGUAUACAUUCCAUUUCCAUACGACUAUGGCUAUAGCCAAUAUCCGCCAUUCAUUAUAAAUAAUAACUCUUUUUGGAACGAUGUAUACAAUCGUAACACAACAGAUUUCAGUAAGAGUAUAAAUUACGGUAAUAAUUACGGUACUAAUUGGCUUGAAUAGUUUCUCACUGUUUGGCAUGAAGCGGCACAAAGCUUGGAGCUCAUCUUCGUCAAGAAUUCCUGGAUCUAGAUACCAUAUGAUCAUGCACAGAUACAUGCAUACGAGCAUGGUGCUUUACCUGGCCGACUGGCAGAUGACAGUUCACAAAACGCACGCCAUUCUCAACCCGAAUCAACAAAAAAAUUGUUCGUAUUUUUUUUAUCCGCAAUCUGUUAAUGUCACCUUCCCGUAUUCUACGUCAUCUUAAAACCGUGCUGCGCCCUCACACAAAUGCAAACACAAAGCAUACGCAACGAUAAUUCAUAACAUUCAUAAAAUUGAGUUACUUCCGAUAUACGAUGACAAAAAAAAAUAGUUCGAUUAUUUACGUAUUUUAUGUCAACCUCCUGAAAUAUUGCACGGAUGCAAAUCAACACCUUGUAUACUUCAUUAUUCAUUUAAAUGUAUGUUGUAGGCUUUUAUAUGCACUCAUGUAUACAUAAAAUUAUACUAAGACAUCAUUUAAUAUUGUAUAAUAAUGGUUUUUCAAGACUUAGAAGUAUUGUUACCCCAAAAUUCUUUGGUAAGACAUUGUAUAACUGGGUAGUUGACCUAUCUUUAGUUAUAUUUGCUUUGUUACUUUUGCUAGUAUCUCUGUCUUUGCGCUUGUUCCACUUUGUGUUUUCGUACCAAUAAAUAUCUCUUAUAUA
This is a long non-coding RNA of Helicoverpa armigera (cotton bollworm), 1029 nucleotides long. RefSeq lists it as uncharacterized. The transcript has 3 exons. Lineage: Eukaryota; Metazoa; Arthropoda; Insecta; Lepidoptera; Noctuidae. The record is from RefSeq and is a predicted model, not a curated record.